GACGAACGCUGGCGGCGUGCUUAACACAUGCAAGUCGAACGGAAAGGCCUGCUUUCCCUUGUGGAUUGCGGGUACUCGAGUGGCGAACGGGUGAGUAACACGUGAGUGAUCUGCCCCCAACUUGGGUAUAAGCCUGGGAAACUGGGUCUAAUUCCCGAUAGGACUGCAGGGUGGUGCCUGUGGUGGAAAACGAUUUUCUAGUGGUUGGGGAUGAGCUCGCGGCCUAUCAGCUUGUUGGUGGGGUAAUGGCCUACCAAGGCGGCGACGGGUAGCCGGCCUGGGAGGGUGGACGGCCACAUUUGGACUGGGAUACGGCCCCGACUCCUACGGGGGGCAGGAGUGGGGAAUAUUGCACAAUGGGCGGAAGCCUGAUGCAGCGACGCCGCGUGGGGGAUGACGGCCUUCGGGUUGUAAACUCCUUUCGACCGCGAGGAAGCCACCUGGUUGGAAGGGUGGUGACGGUAGUGGUAGAAGAAGCACCGGCUAACUACGUG
RNAcentral lists this ribosomal RNA (494 nucleotides) under uncultured bacterium. Its description in RNAcentral is "partial 16S ribosomal RNA". It matches the Rfam family "Bacterial small subunit ribosomal RNA", at positions 28 to 507 of the family's 1533-position model. The record is from RNAcentral.